Regulatory RNA element from Intestinimonas butyriciproducens, 187 nucleotides. The record is from Rfam. Lineage: Bacteria; Bacillati; Bacillota; Clostridia; Eubacteriales.
UAUAUUGUCAUAUGUACAAGUUCCGGUUUUUACCGGUGAAAAUGGAAGCGGGUGAGAAUCCCGCGCGGUCCCGCCGCUGUAUGCGCAUCAGGCCCCUCCAUUGUUGCCACUGAGAAUGUUCACAUUCUUGGGAAGGCGGAGGUUUCGCUGCGUAAGCCAGAAGACAUGCUUGUAUAUCUCUUGUCUG